This is a ribosomal RNA of Chloroherpeton thalassium ATCC 35110, 108 nucleotides long. The record is from Rfam. Lineage: Bacteria; Pseudomonadati; Chlorobiota; Chlorobiia; Chlorobiales; Chloroherpetonaceae.
UUCGGUGACUAUAUCCUGGGUGAUCACCUCUUCCCAUUCCGAACAGAGAAGUUAAGCCCCAGAGAGCCGAUGGUACUGCGUUUGCGGGAGAGUAGGUCGUUGCCGAUU